UUGACCUCGGAUCAGGUAGGACUACCCGCUGAACUUAAGCAUAUCAAUAAGCGGAGGAAAAGAAACCAACAGGGAUUGCCUCAGUAACGGCGAGUGAAGCGGCAACAGCUCAAAUUUGAAAUCUGGCCUUUUGGCCCGAGUUGUAAUUUGGAGAGGAUGCUUUUGGUGCGGUGCCUUCCGAGUUCCUUGGAACAGGACGCCAGAGAGGGUGAGAGCCCCGUACGGUUGGACACAAGCCUUUGAAUAGCUCCUUCGACGAGUC
RNAcentral lists this ribosomal RNA (262 nucleotides) under Graphilbum cf. rectangulosporium 246bGRJ. RNAcentral's name for it is "partial 28S ribosomal RNA". It matches the Rfam family "Eukaryotic large subunit ribosomal RNA", at positions 1 to 266 of the family's 3401-position model. Lineage: Eukaryota; Fungi; Ascomycota; Sordariomycetes; Ophiostomatales; Ophiostomataceae. The record is from RNAcentral.